AGUUCGAUGAGAGCGAUAAC
Molecule: unclassified non-coding RNA, 20 nt
Filed under: Tequintavirus T5
Lineage: Duplodnaviria; Heunggongvirae; Uroviricota; Caudoviricetes; Demerecviridae
Description: Escherichia virus T5 partial miscellaneous RNA
Source: RNAcentral